GUCGAGGGGCAUCACGAGGUAGCAAUACUUUGGGUGGCGACCGGCGCACGGGUGCUUAACGCGUAUGUAACCUACCUAUAACAGGGGCAUAACACUGAGAAAUUGGUACUAAUUCCCCAUAAUAUUCGGAGAGGCAUCUCUCCGGGUUGAAAACUCCGGUGGUUAUAGAUGGACAUGCGUUGUAUUAGCUAGUUGGUGAGGUAACGGCUCACCAAGGCAACGAUACAUAGGGGGACUGAGAGGUUAACCCCCCACACUGGUACUGAGACACGGACCAGACUCCUACGGGAGGCAGCAGUGAGGAAUAUUGGUCAAUGGACGCAAGUCUGAACCAGCCAUGCCGCGUGCAGGAAGACGGCUCUAUGAGUUGUAAACUGCUUUUGUACGAGGGUAAACUCACCUACGUGUAGGUGACUGAAAGUAUCGUACGAAUAAGGAUCGGCUAACUCCGUGCCAGCAGCCGCGGUAAUACGGAGGAUUCAAGCGUUAUCCGGAUUUAUUGGGUUUAAAGGGUGCGUAGGCGGUUUGAUAAGUUAGAGGUGAAAUCCCGGGGCUUAACUCCGGAACUGCCUCUAAUACUGUUAGACUAGAGAGUAGUUGCGGUAGGCGGAAUGUAUGGUGUAGCGGUGAAAUGCUUAGAGAUCAUACAGAACACCGAUUGCGAAGGCAGCUUACCAAACUAUAUCUGACGUUGAGGCACGAAAGCGUGGGGAGCAAACAGGAUUAGAUACCCUGGUAGUCCACGCAGUAAACGAUGAUAACUCGUUGUCGGCGAUACACAGUCGGUGACUAAGCGAAAGCGAUAAGU
This 808-nucleotide ribosomal RNA is filed under the name uncultured bacterium. Its description in RNAcentral is "bacterial SSU rRNA". It matches the Rfam family "Bacterial small subunit ribosomal RNA", at positions 61 to 865 of the family's 1533-position model. The record is from RNAcentral.